This 484-nucleotide ribosomal RNA is filed under the name uncultured bacterium. RNAcentral describes it as "bacterial SSU rRNA". It matches the Rfam family "Bacterial small subunit ribosomal RNA", at positions 899 to 1397 of the family's 1533-position model. The record is from RNAcentral.
ACUCAAAGGAAUUGACGGGGACCCGCACAAGCGGUGGAGCGUGUUCUUUAAUUCGAUGCUAAACGAAGAACCUUACCAGGGCUUGACAUCCCGAGAAUUACUGCGAAAGCAGUGAGUGCCUUAGGGAACUCGGUGACAGGUGCUGCAUGGCCGUCGUCAGCUCGUGUCGUGAGAUGUUUGGUUAAGUCCAUCAACGAGCGCAACCCCUAUGAAUAGUUGAAUUUUUCUAUUCAGACUGCCCCGGCAACGGGGAGGAGGGGGGGGAUGAUGUCAGGUCAGUAUUGCCCUUACGUCCUGGGCUAGAAACGCGCUACAAUGGCCGGUACAACGCGAUGCCAACCCGCAAGGGGGAGCAAAUCGCAUCAAAGCCGGUCCCAGUUCAGAUUGCAGGCUGAAACUCGCCUGCAUGAAGUCGGAAUCGCUAGUAAUCGCAGAUCAGCACGCUGCGGUGAAUACGUUCCCGGGUCUUGUACACACCGCCCGU